RNAcentral lists this ribosomal RNA (990 nucleotides) under Triticum aestivum (bread wheat). Its description in RNAcentral is "partial small subunit ribosomal RNA". The record is from RNAcentral. Lineage: Eukaryota; Viridiplantae; Streptophyta; Magnoliopsida; Poales; Poaceae.
AUGUGCAUGAAGAAAUUUAUUAAGGAUAGGGUGCAGUCUUGUUUGGUUUGUCAGCAAGCUAAACCUGAAAGAGUUAAGUAUCCAGGACUGCUUUCUCCUUUACCAGUUCCAAGUAAGGCAUGGGAAACUGUGACCAUGGAUUUUAUUACUGGAUUACCUCCUUCCUAUCAGUUUGAUUGCAUAUUAGUGGUCAUUGACAAGUUUACAAAAUAUGGGCAUUUCAUGGCCCUCAAACACCCUUUUUCUGCACAAAAGGUUGCUGAAGUGUUCUUGGACAAUAUAUACAAAUUGCAUGGCAUGCCAGAGUACAUUGUAUCUGAUAGAGAUCCGGUGUUCACAAACAAAUUUUGGCAAAUUUUUGUUCACAGGACUGGGACUCAGCUUAACAUGAGUACUGCAUAUCACCCUGCUACUGAUGGUCAGACUGAGAGAGUCAACCAGCAGAUUGAAUGCUACCUCAGAAGUUUUAUUAGUGCUCACCCCUCCAAAUGGAGCAAAUGGCUGUCCAUGUGUGAGUUUUGGUAUAAUACAAAUUGGCAUUCAGCUGCGGGCAAGUCUCCUUUUGAGGUACUUUAUGGGCACUCUCCUAGAUAUUUUGGGAUUGCUGCCAGUGAUACUGUUGCCCCUGUGGAUAUUACCCAGUGGCUGCAAGACAGGGAGGUUGUGGUAGCUUCUGUUAAACAACAUCUGCUCCGAGCUCAACAAAGAAUGAAGCACAUGGCUGAUAAAAACAGGACUGAGAGAUCUUUCAACGUUGGAGAACAAGUUUUCUUGAAACUGCAACCGUAUGUGCAAUCUUCAGUUGUGCAUAGAGCAAACCACAAGCUAGCUUUCAAAUACUUUGGACCCUAUACCAUCCUUGACAAGAUUGGGGAAGUGGCUUACAAAUUGGAAUUGCCUCCGGACAGCAGAAUUCAUCCGGUUCAUGUGUCUCAGCUUAAGAAGCAACGAGUCCGGCAGCAUGGCAAACGUACGAUCGCUCAAGGCUUG